This 63-nucleotide transfer RNA is filed under the name Khawia sinensis. RNAcentral's name for it is "tRNA-Trp". Lineage: Eukaryota; Metazoa; Platyhelminthes; Cestoda; Caryophyllidea; Lytocestidae. The record is from RNAcentral.
GUUGCGCUAAGUUAACAGACUAAGUGUUUUCAAAACACUCAGUGGCCAGAGGGCCGCGCGAUG